ACGCUCGACACCUACGGGGGCAGCAGUAGGGAAGUUUUCGUCAAUGGGGGAACCCUGAACGAGCAAUGCCGCGUGAGUGAAGAAGGUCUUCGGAUCGUAAAGUCUCUGUUAGUAAGAGAAAAAGGGCGUCAUAAUAGGAAAUGAUAUGCGAUUUGUAUGGUAUCUUACCAGAAAGCCACGGCUAACUACGUGCCAGCAGCCGCGGUAAUCUGAGGCGGGCUGGCAAGGC
Molecule: ribosomal RNA, 229 nt
Filed under: uncultured bacterium
Lineage: Bacteria
Description: partial 16S ribosomal RNA
Rfam family: Bacterial small subunit ribosomal RNA
Source: RNAcentral